Molecule: ribosomal RNA, 374 nt
Filed under: uncultured organism
Description: partial 16S ribosomal RNA
Rfam family: Bacterial small subunit ribosomal RNA
Source: RNAcentral
GGAGGGUGCAAGCGUUAUCCGGAAUCAUUGGGCGUAAAGCGUUCGUAGGCGGUUUGUUAAGUUGGAUGUUAAAUUUUACAGCUCAACUGUGAACCUAUAUCCAAAACUGACAAACUAGAGUACUACAGAGGUAUGUGGAAUUCUGUGUGUAGGGGUAAAAUCCGUAGAUACACAGAGGAACACCAAAAGCGAAGGCAGCAUACUGGGUAGUUACUGACGCUCAGGAACGAAAGCAUGGGUAGCGAACGGGAUUAGAUACCCCGGUAGUCCAUGCCGUAAACGAUGGAUACUAGGUGUUGAGGGACUCGACCCCCCCCUCAGUGCCGACGCUAACGCAUUAAGUAUCCCGCCUGGGGAGUACGGUCGCAAGAUUA